RNAcentral lists this ribosomal RNA (222 nucleotides) under uncultured bacterium. Its description in RNAcentral is "partial 16S ribosomal RNA". It matches the Rfam family "Bacterial small subunit ribosomal RNA", at positions 109 to 334 of the family's 1533-position model. The record is from RNAcentral.
AGUAACACGUGGGCGACCUGCCUUCGAGUGGGGAAUAACGCUGGGAAACCAGCGCUAAUACCGCAUACGCUCGGUCGUUCAGUCGACCGAGGAAAGCCUUGUGUGCUCGAAGAGGGGCCUGCGGCGGAUUAGCUAGUCGGUGGGGUCACGGCCUACCGAGGCGACGAUCCGUAGCUGGUCUGAGAGGAUGAUCAGCCACAUUGGGACUGAGACACGGCCCAA